Molecule: long non-coding RNA, 1259 nt
Organism: Chelmon rostratus (copperband butterflyfish)
Lineage: Eukaryota; Metazoa; Chordata; Actinopteri; Chaetodontiformes; Chaetodontidae
Exons: 4
Source: RefSeq, a predicted model, not a curated record
GAUGCUCAAAGGUACGCCUAGCUAAGACUAUAGUAUGAAACGGAGGCAGGGAGAUAUCUCCAGCUUCUUCACUAAGAAGAAAAUUAGGGAGAGUGACCAGGAGGAGUGUGAGAAUCAGGGUGAAUGCAGCCAAGCUAACAUUGACCAAAGUUCCCCUGGCCUGAACAGCGCUCAUGGACUUCCAGAUGCACAAAGGGAGAGGACUGACAAUGGUGAUGAGUCUGACCAUGCUGAGUCAGAUGACAGCUGCAGCUACAGCAGUUGCAGCAGCUCCAGUAGCAACAGGAACCCCCCAGUUCAUCCAACCUUUGCUACGCCAAAAGGUCCCCAAGACAUUUCUCAAACCAGAGCUGCAGGUCCUGCACAACCUGUCCUGAAGACCUUCCCUUGCACCCAGCACGGACAUGUUAGGACCAGAGCGUUCAGGGCCUCAUGUUUGUAAGGUUGUUCAGCAGCAAACACGGCAAUCGCAAAAUACAGUUAUUUUGAAGUGUCAGCACCUUCAAAUGAGUGAUACAUUGAGUGGUACUUACUCCAUGCUGACGAAUGACUUUGUUACCAAGUUGUGUAAAUUCACAAGCUCCAUAUCUUGGAGCCAUUGUUUUUGUUGAAAAAAAUAUUUGCGGCUCCACUCAGAAUUAAUCUGUCAUAUCUAGUGAUACCAAUUGUGAUCAGCUCUGAGAUUUCCUGCAUAAACAUCAAUGAAUGGUGGUCGAUGCUGUGAUGGAAUUUUCUGUCACUUGACUACACCUAGUGGGGGCCUCAGGGUCAUGGUCUGGCAAAGGGGUCUUCUUCAGGCCUAUAGGACCCAUCCAGGACAGUGUGUCAGACAAAUCCAUGCUAGAAUGCUCUGCAGCUGAUGUAAUCCUGUGUAUAAAAAUCUAUCAGCACCUUGCACAGUAGCUGCUACAGAGUCACUGAAUUGCUCUUUCUCACUUAUGAGAAGCAGCAUUUCAAUCUUCUUUUCAAACUGUGCAGUUAUCUCACUCAGUCUCUUGUAGUGUCAGAUCUGAGGGUUACAAGACAAGAUUGUGCCACUCCACUCUGUCCACUCUGUGCUCACUCUGUGCUCAGGGGCAUGGGGGAGACAGGCACAUGAAGAGGAUCUCUGUACAUGUUGUCUACUGGAGUCAAACUUACUCUUAACUCUGUAUACUUAAGAAAUCACAUCUCUGUUUAUUUAGUGAAAUCUCUGUUUAUUUAGUGAAAUCUCUGUUUACUUAGUGAGUCUUAUGUCUGUUUAGUUCGUACUAUCUCUG